CUUAGUUACAUAGAUGCUUGACGCAAUAUACCUAUUGCCCUGGCUGAUAAUUGUAGGGUGGCUACUACCGCCAAUGGCAUACAUGAACCAAUGAGUGUAGUCAUUGUUGACGACAUGAAAAAAACCUAAUCGACACCUAGGCAUCCUGUCCACCAAUCCUUUACCGAAGCGGUUCAAAGCAACAGUGAUCUGCAUCUUCUCGUCGGCAGCAUAGGUGUCACUUGCUCCAAAUAGCAGCACCUACAAUUUUUUCAUUUCAAUUAUAUUGUUUUGUCACUAAAAAAAAAAACCUAUUCGAGCUUAGUUUAAAAUAGAAAAGAAAGCAAGAUUGCCUCGUUGUGGUCAGUGAAAUGGCAGUUUGAAAUGGUAAUGGCAGUGGAACCCUGAAUAACAUCGAUAAGACCAUCAGAGGAAUCAUAAAGAGAAAGAUGGUCAAGCCAAAUGUUGGUUGCUCCAAAAAGAGAGAUCCCAUCUCCAUCGCUGGCAGUCCUUAACCCAAGGUGGUUUUCAGCAUCCCUAAUGAUGCCACCAGUAGUGGGUUUAAUGUGAUGGAUAUGGAGGCCAUGAAUAAUGAUGUUCCUAGCAAACUGGACAGUAAUACCAGCACCAUAGCAAAUAUGUACAUUAGCUCCCCUCGCAUCGAUGGUCUUGUCGCUUGUAACAAUGAGCUCUUGUUCCAGCUUGAUGAUCAUGGAUUUUUUGAAAGUGAUCCAAAGUGGCCUGAGUUGGGUGACUGCAUGACGUAGGGUUCCAGGCUUGGGGUUAGCACUAUCAUCACUAGGGUCAGUGACCACGUAAAACUUACCGUCCUUUCCACCGGUAGUACCACGAGCAAAUCCAGGGGCACAGUCGGCCAACCUCUUCCUGUUCUUUACCC
RNAcentral lists this long non-coding RNA (877 nucleotides) under Gossypium barbadense (sea-island cotton). RNAcentral describes it as "long non-coding RNA (GBAR_LNC012182)". The record is from RNAcentral. Lineage: Eukaryota; Viridiplantae; Streptophyta; Magnoliopsida; Malvales; Malvaceae.